GAUGAAGAACGUAGUGAAAUGCGAUACGUAAUGUGAAUUGCAGAAUUCAGUGAAUCAUCGAGUCUUUGAACGCACAUUGCGCCCCCUGGUAUUCCGGGGGGCAUGCCUGUCCGAGCGUCAUUGCUGCCCUCAAGCACGGCUUGUGUGUUGGGCCUCCGUCCUCCUCCCGGGGGACGGGCCCGAAAGGCAGCGGCGGCACCGCGUCCGGUCCUCGAGGGUAUGGGGCUUCGUCACCCGCUCUUGUAGGCCCGGCCGGCGCUUGCCGACACAUCAAUCUUUUUUCCAGGUUGACCUCGGAUCAGGUAGGGAUACCCGCUGAACUUAAGCAUAUCAAUAAGCGGAGGA
RNAcentral lists this unclassified non-coding RNA (345 nucleotides) under soil metagenome. RNAcentral's name for it is "partial contains 5.8S ribosomal RNA, internal transcribed spacer 2, and large subunit ribosomal RNA". The stretch from base 1 to 120 matches the Rfam family "5.8S ribosomal RNA", at positions 35 to 154 of the family's 154-position model. The record is from RNAcentral.